RNAcentral lists this ribosomal RNA (408 nucleotides) under uncultured bacterium. RNAcentral describes it as "bacterial SSU rRNA". It matches the Rfam family "Bacterial small subunit ribosomal RNA", at positions 64 to 507 of the family's 1533-position model. The record is from RNAcentral.
GAACGUGAUCCAGGCUUCGGUCUGGUGAAAGUGGCAGACGGGUGAGUAACGCGUGGGAACCUGCCCUGUGGUAGGGAAUAACCGCGGGAAACUGCGGCUAAUACCCUAUGAGUCCUUCGGGAGAAAGAUUUAUCGCCAUAGGAGGGGCCCGCGUCGGAUUAGGUAGUUGGUGGGGUAAUUUCCUACCAAGCCUCCGAUCCGUACCUGGUCUGAGAGGAUGAUCAGCCACACUGGGACUGAGAUACGGCCCAGACUCCUACGGGAGGCAGCAGUGGGGAAGGCUUGACAAUGGGGGCAACCCUGAUCCAUCGAUGCCGCGUGGGUGAUGAAGGCCUUCGGGUUGUAAAGCCCUUUCGGGGGGGAAGAUGAUGACGGUACCCGCAGAAGAACCCCCGGCUUACUUUCGUG